This 253-nucleotide ribosomal RNA is filed under the name uncultured bacterium. Its description in RNAcentral is "partial 16S ribosomal RNA". It matches the Rfam family "Bacterial small subunit ribosomal RNA", at positions 524 to 776 of the family's 1533-position model. The record is from RNAcentral.
UACAGAGGUCCCAAGCGUUGUUCGGAAUCACUGGGCGUAAAGCGCACGUAGGCGGUCUUUUAAGUCAGGGGUGAAAUCCUGGAGCUCAACUCCAGAACUGCCUUUGAUACUGGGAGACUUGAGUCCGGGAGAGGUGAGUGGAACUGCGAGUGUAGAGGUGAAAUUCGUAGAUAUUCGCAAGAACACCAGUGGCGAAGGCGGCUCACUGGCCCGGUACUGACGCUGAGGUGCGAAAGCGUGGGGAGCAAACAGG